UACGGAGGGUGCGAGCGUUAUCCGGAAUCACUGGGUUUAAAGGGUGCGUAGGCGGGGAAUUAAGUCAGUGGUGAAAGCCUGUCGCUUAACGAUAGAAUUGCCAUUGAUACUGAUUUUCUUGAAUUGGGUUGAGGUUAGCGGAAUGUGACAUGUAGCGGUGAGAUGCAUAGAUAUGUCAUGGAACACCAAUUGCGAAGGCAGCUAGCUGGGCCUUGAUUGACGCUGAGGCACGAAAGCGUGGGUAGCGAACAGG
RNAcentral lists this ribosomal RNA (253 nucleotides) under uncultured bacterium. RNAcentral describes it as "partial 16S ribosomal RNA". It matches the Rfam family "Bacterial small subunit ribosomal RNA", at positions 524 to 776 of the family's 1533-position model. The record is from RNAcentral.